Molecule: ribosomal RNA, 253 nt
Filed under: uncultured bacterium
Lineage: Bacteria
Description: partial 16S ribosomal RNA
Rfam family: Bacterial small subunit ribosomal RNA
Source: RNAcentral
UACAGAGGUCUCAAGCGUUGUUCGGAUUCAUUGGGCGUAAAGGGUGCGUAGGUGGCGUCGUAAGUGGGGUGUGAAAUCCCGGGGCUUAACCCCGGGACUGCAUUCCAUACUGCGGUGCUUGAGGACUGGAGAGGAGACUGGAAUUUACGGUGUAGCAGUGAAAUGCGUAGAGAUCGUAAGGAAGACCAGUGGCGAAGGCGGGUCUCUGGACAGUUCCUGACACUGAGGCACGAAGGCCAGGGGAGCAAACGGG